CCCUGAGACCUUGAGUCUCCUGAAGGAACGUUGAAGACGACGACGUUGAUAGGUCGGGUGUGUAAGCGCAGCGAUGCGUUGAGCUAACCGAUACUAAUGAACCGUGAGGCUUAACCUUACAACGCCGAAGC
RNAcentral lists this ribosomal RNA (131 nucleotides) under Enterobacter hormaechei. Its description in RNAcentral is "partial 23S ribosomal RNA". It matches the Rfam family "Bacterial large subunit ribosomal RNA", at positions 2797 to 2925 of the family's 2925-position model. Lineage: Bacteria; Pseudomonadati; Pseudomonadota; Gammaproteobacteria; Enterobacterales; Enterobacteriaceae. The record is from RNAcentral.